Molecule: ribosomal RNA, 497 nt
Filed under: uncultured bacterium
Lineage: Bacteria
Description: partial 16S ribosomal RNA
Rfam family: Bacterial small subunit ribosomal RNA
Source: RNAcentral
GAUGAACGCUGGCGGCGUGCCUAAUACAUGCAAGUCGAGCGAACGGACGAGAAGCUUGCUUCUCUGAUGUUAGCGGCGGACGGGUGAGUAACACGUGGAUAACCUACCUAUAAGACUGGGAUAACUUCGGGAAACCGGAGCUAAUACCGGAUAAUAUUUUGAACCGCAUGGUUCAAAAGUGAAAGACGGUCUUGCUGUCACUUAUAGAUGGAUCCGCGCUGCAUUAGCUAGUUGGUAAGGUAACGGCUUACCAAGGCAACGAUGCAUAGCCGACCUGAGAGGGUGAUCGGCCACACUGGAACUGAGACACGGUCCAGACUCCUACGGGAGGCAGCAGUAGGGAAUCUUCCGCAAUGGGCGAGAGCCUGACGGAGCAACGCCGCGUGAGUGAUGAAGGUCUUCGGAUCGUAAAACUCUGUUAUUAGGGAAGAACAUAUGUGUAAGUAACUGUGCACAUCUUGACGGUACCUAAUCAGAAAGCCACGGCUAACUACGUG